RNAcentral lists this ribosomal RNA (427 nucleotides) under uncultured bacterium. RNAcentral's name for it is "partial 16S ribosomal RNA". It matches the Rfam family "Bacterial small subunit ribosomal RNA", at positions 355 to 774 of the family's 1533-position model. The record is from RNAcentral.
UGGGGAAUAUUGGACAAUGGGCGAAAGCCUGAUCCAGCCAUGCCGCGUGUGUGAAGAAGGUCUUCGGAUUGUAAAGCACUUUAAGUUGGGAGGAAGGGCAGUAAGUUAAUACCUUGCUGUUUUGACGUUACCGACAGAAUAAGCACCGGCUAACUCUGUGCCAGCAGCCGCGGUAAUACAGAGGGUGCAAGCGUUAAUCGGAAUUACUGGGCGUAAAGCGCGCGUAGGUGGUUUGUUGAGUUGGAUGUGAAAGCCCCGGGCUCAACCUGGGAACUGCAUCCAAAACUGGCAAGCUAGAGUACGGUAGAGGGUGGUGGAAUUUCCUGUGUAGCGGUGAAAUGCGUAGAUAUAGGAAGGAACACCAGUGGCGAAGGCGACCACCUGGACUGAUACUGACACUGAGGUGCGAAAGCGUGGGGAGCAAACA